AGCUUUGCGCAGUGGUAAUAUUGUAGCCAAUAAGGUUUAUCUGAGGCACAAUUAUUGCUAAUUAAAGAGCAUAUGCCUUCAUUCUGGCAUACAGUUAAGUUACUGCAGUCAUUUUAAUCACUUGUGAGCCUUGACAGGC
Mustela putorius furo (domestic ferret) is the source of this 139-nucleotide non-coding RNA. Lineage: Eukaryota; Metazoa; Chordata; Mammalia; Carnivora; Mustelidae. The record is from Rfam.